RNAcentral lists this long non-coding RNA (2746 nucleotides) under Heterocephalus glaber (naked mole-rat). RNAcentral describes it as "lncRNA (ENSHGLG00100041963.1)". Lineage: Eukaryota; Metazoa; Chordata; Mammalia; Rodentia; Bathyergidae. The record is from RNAcentral.
GGGCGGUGGGGUCAGAAGCGCGGUCUCGCGGGGGUGCGUUAGUGCGCCUCCCCUCCCCGGCCUCAUCGAAGUAAAUGAUUUUCCAAAGGUCAGUCUCCCUGUGCGCGUUUGGGCUCUGAUUUUUGUUUUGGGGUGGUUUUUUUUUAAUAUUUAUUUCUGUGCUUUUCCAGUUGGGGAAGGGAGAGGCGCCUGGGCAGAGCUGAACUGGGGUAGGGAGGUUCGUGGUAAAGCGGGGCUCGCAGGGACGGCGAGGGCUCUUCGCAAGCAGGGUUUCCUGGUCCUGGAACGCCCAUCCUUCUCGCUACCUUCCAACGAGGUUCUGGAUGUGCUCCUCAGUGUCUCCCGGAGCUGUCAUCAGAAAUUCUGUGAGUGCUGAGUGCUGCAGCUGAGCCCCAUCCAACAGAGAGGUGGCCGUGAAACUAUCCCAGUGCAUCCUCAGCCACCUCACUCACUGGAUCUGGCACCAUGUGGCUUCCGGCUCUCCCCCAAAGUCAAAGUGACCCUGAAAAGUGAACAUCUUGACUGAAUUCAGGACAUCUACACAGCCACAACCCCCCUACUAAGACACUCAGGAAAGGACCCCAGAACCGCUUCAGAAAGUGGCAAGAAUGAGGGGGACAGAAGCAAAUUGCAAACAGAGCAACUUCCAGCCAGCCCCUACCCCAGGCUCCCACUGAGACUUCCUCACUGGUGACCGUGCAGUGAGGAACCAGAGUACAGGACAGGAGACGUGGAAAAGGCAGGAGACACGCCUGAGACAGAGAUGGGGUCCGGAUCUUAGGGGCCGCUCGGGCAGAGCGCGACGCUGGUCUGGGGGUCCUGCUCCAUGCCCCUCCCCAGGGCCCAGACUCAAAGUCCUUCCCUCCUCCCCUCGCCCACUGCCACCCCAGGGGACAUGAAGUAGACCAAGAAGUAGGUGCCGCAGCCACUCAAGUAGCUUCCCCACGAUGACUCUGAGGGAGGAUCUCCCUUACUCCAAGCCACUUUCCACGUUUACUGAAUCACUUGUUUUUCAGUCUAUAACUUAAAUAUUGAACCAAAGUCUUAUGAAUCAUUGCAUUUUUUGUGUUCAAAUCACCUGCACGUGGCCAGAUCUCUCUGCUCUUAACAAAAAGCCCCUGCUUCGACCAACCCCCAGGUGGAGAAGGAGGAAAUGAUUAUUUGCUUUUGCCUAGAAAUAUGAGUCUGUUUGGGUCUCUCGGGUUUCCAUAAAAAUGACAAAUCCAAACAAAAAAAAAAUGAGUUUGCCCUAACAAACAAGGUAUUCUGUGUAUAAAUAUUUAGGGGCAAGAUGUGAAUGCUAUGCUGGAAUUUCAAAAAUGGAUAAAAUACUGUUGGCAAAUCCUCAAUUGCUAUGAAAUCAAGCAUGAUACAGCUUGCUGAACAGAGAAAGAACAGUCUUCCUCCGAUGCCUUGUUACUCAAGAGUGCUGCCCUGCUUCCGGAUUUGCUUUUACCUACUUAAAAUAAACCCUGACUAAACCUGGGCAGGGUGGUACACACCUGUAAUCCCAGCACUGGGGAGGCUGAGACAGGAGGCUCUCAAAUUCAAACCCAGCCUGGGCAAUUUCAUGACUUAGCAAGACCCUGCCUCAAAAUAAAAAUAAAAAAUUCAAAAGAGCUGCAGGUGGGUUCAGUCCUCAGUCCUGAGAAAGAAAGACAGAAAGAGAAAGCUGGCUCAGUAGUGCUUUCUCCAUGCUCACAUUAAUAACAGUAAAUUCCCCGCUCUCUAGAGUCUUCUCUUUUUAACGAAUGGUGUCCGCAGCAUCGUUCAGGAGCUGUCAGGCUGCAGAGCAUAACAAAUGGGAUUGUGAUUAGAAAAUAAACUGGCCUUGGAUGAGGGACGCUGGAGGAGAGCCCGGAAGUGAAGCCAAGGGCAGUUCCUCAGGCCCUGGGCACUGCUGUCCCGCCUGAGACCUCUUUCUGCUCUCUACCUCCCCAGAUCCCACUGCAGAAACCACAGCUUCCCGCUGAGCAACUGGCGCAAGCCCAGGGCCCCCUCCAGCUUUCCAAAGGCUUCCAGAAAACAGCUCUUUGCUUCAUUGGAAUCCUGGAAACAAACUGUUCUACCAAGGGUUAAAUCUGUAAUAGUUGCUGGAUACUGUGGCACAUGCCUGGCAUCCCAGCACUCUGGGAGGCUGAGGCAGGAGGAUCGCAAAUGUAAACCUGGUCUGGGGAACUCAGGGACUUAGCAAGACCCUGUCUGAAAAUCAAAAAGGCUGAGGGUGAAACUCAGUAGGAAGAACAUGGGUUCAAUCCCCAGUGCCACAAAACAAUUUGUAGUGGUUAAGCUAUUACUGCAAUAACACUAGGACUUUCAAUUUGAGGUAUUUGUAAAAUGUUUUUUGGUUUAUUGAUACAGGUCUCACAGUUCAGGCUGGCCUUCAACUCUCUAUGUAGCCCAGGCUAGCUUUGAACUCACAGUAAUCCUCCUGCCUCAGCCUCCUGACUGCUAGAAUCACAGGUGUGUGCCACCAUGCCCAGCUAUGGAAUUUUCUUUAUAAUAAAGACAAAUACUUUCAUAAGUUUGGCAUUUUAUCGUAUUUCUUGCAAAUGAAGUGUUUGUUUCAAAGUGAAACCAAUCUGUUCCUCAGAGUAGAAGUGAAUGCUGAUUUUGUUAAGGUCCUGUACUCUUCUUCUUACUCUUUCCUCCCCCAAACAUUUGCUUCUUUUAACUAAAAUGACCAUAACUUUUGCAAUCAGGAAAUACUUUUUAAUUUGGGCAAUGUAUAAAGGAUGAUGAUGGG